CAAAGGAGCUACGGCGCAGGGGUGGAGAUGUGCCGCUAGCAUGGGCUGCCCUGAAAAGACUGUGCCGCAAACUCAGGGCCUUUGGCAGAGUCAGCAAAGGUUAAAAAAAAGAGCCAGGAAGAAUAUCUAGCGAAAGAGUGCCCAGCGCAGAGGGCACCUCAACUGCCAAAGCCCCACGAUGAGAGAACGUCGAGUACAUUUAGGAAGGCUCAUGGCUGGAACAGAAUGAGCGAGAGGAGAACCGAAGGAGAGAAGGCAGUGCAGGUGGCAGGGAGCUGGCCCUGAACAGGUGGAGCACGAUUUCUUGGAAAAAAGAGGGGAGCCUGUCUUGGAGGCUAUCUGAAGAGCCACUCACUACAGAGUGAACAGUGGAUUGUCCUGGCGGUGGCGGAGGCUGAGACGCAGAGCGAGCUGGGUGCCCUGCAAAGCUCGAUGCGAGGGACAGUGAGGCAUGGGUCAAAGGUAACACCAAAGGUCAUGACCUGAGUUGGAAGGACAGAGGUCCUGUGCAUGGAUAGAUUCAAAAACAAAGCCAACAAAUGAAAAGAAAUAAAAUCUACUACCACCACGACCACCACCAGCCAGACCACCACCAGCACCACCAGCAUCAGCACCAGCAUCCUGGGCUAAGAAGGAGGCUCCCUAAGUGGGUAGUGUGAAGGUCUUGCCCAGGGUUUUCCAGCAACCCAGAAGCAGAGUUUUGGCUUAGCUUAGGAGUUUGCUGCAAAGGACCUGGCAGCUGUAGUGAAGACUCAAACAUGUUUUCUCUCUAAUUGUACUUUGGCAAAGACCUUGGAUGGGGUCAUGUAUUAGAGCAGCGAGCUGUCUCACCUGAGAACCGCAGGGAACACUCUGCAUAGUGCCCUUUUCUCCAGCUCACUGUGAAGAUCCAGGGGUUAAGCUGUUGGGCAUUGGAACUGAACUGCGGAAGCUCAGGGCUCUGCGCAGAUGAGAGCAGGCCAGUGACCAAGGCUUGUAGAGUGGGAUGUCUUCUAUCAACAGCCUUGUUCUCUUAUGAAGCUCCCCUUCUGGCUGUAGAAAGCAGUCUUCUUAAUUCAGGCUGUGCCAGCCUCUUGAGUAAAGCAUCCUCUUUAGAAUAGUUACUUUUCUUCCCCUUGAGGGCUUUCUCCACCUCCUGCUUCACAAGGAGGCAUCUGGCCAGUUGCAAGGAAAGCUGAGGCAUCCUCCUGCUGCUAAAUCCACUUCCUCAUCUACAUAAUAACAAUUUGGUGUACAAAUUCAGAGAGCGGCGGGCAGUAAAUGCCAUCGUAGGCUCUGUAAACCUGAGCCCUGCUGGAGCCUGGAGAUGCUGCCUUGCCUUAGGAGCUGUCCUGGCUUGUUGGUCUCAAAGCUGCCUGCAAAGAGUGUGACUCCUCUCUGCUCCCAGGGCUGAAGGUCAUUGUUAAUUGGCAUGGCUGCUCAAAUCAUCUCUGAACAUCGCCUCCUAGAAAAAUCCUUGCAAAGUGGAGAACCCAAGGGGAAGAGCAGAACUCUGAUAGUGGGCUGAAGAUAAUUUCACUGGCUCACCACGGGCCUUGUUUGUCGGUGAUAAAAUAAAAGACGGGAGCUCAGAAACCAAAUUGGCUUCAGAGCUGAUGUGUGGCCGAGUUGUCUUGAUGAGGUGGCUGGGAGCUGUAAAGCAAGCUUUCCCUUUAAUGGGUGUUUUGUGCCUGUCUGGCUUCUUGUCCAGAGACUGGGCAAAAUCUAUUAGUGAGAUCCACACUAUUUGCUGGUCAUACCGCAGCCAUAUGGGAGACGACUAGCCCAUUUCUUUUCUGAUCCCCUAAUUGGAACUGCUGACUGACUUGUAGGUACCUGAGUGGCUUAAAACGGGGAUGAUAAGAGCUCUGGUAUCAAAGUGUUUUAAAGGGCAGCAGGAGACAUCAUUCACACUGUCUGCAGAUCCGUUUGGAUGGAUGCGGAUGUCUGCCAGGAGCAGCUGGCCUGGAAGGUGUCUGUGCAGAGACUGCUGACUGGCAGUGACCUCUCACUGCUCUUCAGCAGCAGAAUUCUGCUGAGUCUAGUGGGCCAGGACUGCAUAUAUUUGAAGCCAGCUAGAGAAGAGUACGGGCUCCUUUUCUGAGUCGUCCUUAUCAUCUCAGGGAGCAUAAGCUUGCAGGAAGUUUUCUGAAAGAGAAAGAAGGGAGUGUAGUGUUCAAUGAAAGAAGGGAGCUACCUCCAAAUGUGACAUGAAAAACAAUUCAGACAGGGUUGGUUGGUUCCAAUUAACCCCCCACAUGGGUCUACCAAUGACUGAAGGGGUUAUGGACCAUCCCUUUGGUUAACAGGUGGGUAACUGAAGUCCAUAUUCUCAAAACUUGUGAUUUUAUUGAGUCAUUUCCUAGUAAGGCCAAAGCUACCACUAUUUACAGCUUACUAGUAUGGUAAGUCUCCAAAAGAGAGUUCAUUAGUGUGAGAGGAGAUAGAGAAUCUCUUGUGAAGAAGCUAGAUUUUCUUCUGCAUUUAUUUAUUUAUUUAUUUAUUUACUUACUUACCUCUUUACUGCACUUCACAGAGUGAGUCCCUUCUAAACAAGGCAGUCAACUCAAUUUGUCAACCUUCUAUUGGGCACUUACUCUGUCCUGGGACUGGUAGGUAUUGUAGAGCAAGAAUAAGUACAGCCUGACUGUCCAGGCUCCUGUCUGGACUCUCUUCAUUUCCUCCCUGCAUGAAGCUCAGCAUCUAACUUUUCCCUGUAUUCCCUAGGCUCUAAUGUUGUUGGAAGGCUGUGGGUGGAUUUUUCUUUCCGCAGAAAUGUGAUGGGAGAUAACAAAAUGUUUUUAUGCUGUAACAACUCAAAAUGGACCAAAGAAGUAUACGUUGUAAGAUAAAAAUGAAAAGAGAAAAUAUAAGCGGGAAUAAAUAUUCAAAAUAUGUGCCAUAAACCCCCACAUGUUUGCUUGGGGAGCGUGCAUUUGGCUUAGAGCAUCCUUCAUAUCCACUGUAAGGAAAAAUCCUGGACAGGCAUUGGAUCCAUGUUAUUCUUAGGACAGAAACAAUUGCUUACUUUGAGAAAAUACCUGUUCCUGAAUGGAAAGAAAUUACUUUCAUAGGUUUAAAGAGAGUGGCAUAUAAUAGUAUAACUUACUGUGUUCUCUUUGAAUUUCAAAGAUAGAUAAGGGGUUUCUUUCAGGUCAGUUGUCUCAUUCAUUUAUUCUUUAACAAUGAUUUUCCCAUAGAGAAAGCCAAUCCUGGGAUUGCUAUGCUUUCAACAAUCAUUAUUUUAAAUACCAGACUAAAGAAGACUUCAAAUCAACAUCAGGAAGGAGAUGCACUGUUUAACGUGACCCACAUGAGCUAGGUAUAAGUUGGACACUUUGCUGUUGGUAACACUAUAAGACAACAUCCUCAUCUCUGUUUAGUUUCUCCUCUUCAAGUAUGAAGUGUAGGACUUUAGGUUUGGGGCAAAGAGUCAUGAACUCACAGGUCACUGUUCUUCCUCUCUACGAACAACUAAAUGCAAUGAUUUGGGUAUAGCUCUGAAGGAAGGAAAAAGUACAGGAGUAUCAGAACUGAAAGAAUAAGACAUUGAGUUACCUGGGUUUUCUUUUUGUCUCCUAUACAUCCUAGAGGAGAUGACAGAGGGGACUGCAAACCAGUAGAUACAGCACCCCCCACAAAAGAAACAAAGAAUGAACAAAAAGAAGGAAAGA
Molecule: RNA transcript, 3653 nt
Organism: Octodon degus (degu)
Lineage: Eukaryota; Metazoa; Chordata; Mammalia; Rodentia; Octodontidae
Exons: 5
Source: RefSeq, a predicted model, not a curated record